This 482-nucleotide ribosomal RNA is filed under the name uncultured bacterium. RNAcentral's name for it is "partial 16S ribosomal RNA". It matches the Rfam family "Bacterial small subunit ribosomal RNA", at positions 30 to 507 of the family's 1533-position model. The record is from RNAcentral.
AUUGAACGCUGGCGGCAUGCCUUACACAUGCAAGUCGAACGGUAACAGGUCUUCGGAUGCUGACGAGUGGCGAACGGGUGAGUAAUACAUCGGAACGUGCCCGAUCGUGGGGGAUAACGAGGCGAAAGCUUUGCUAAUACCGCAUACGAUCUACGGAUGAAAGCGGGGGAUCUUCGGACCUCGCGCGGACGGAGCGGCCGAUGGCAGAUUAGGUAGUUGGUGGGAUAAAAGCUUACCAAGCCGACGAUCUAUAGCUGGUCUGAGAGGAUGAUCAGCCACACUGGGACUGAGACACGGCCCAGACUCCUACGGGAGGCAGCAGUGGGGAAUUUUGGACAAUGGGCGAAAGCCUGAUCCAGCCAUGCCGCGUGCAGGAUGAAGGCCUUUGGGUUGUAAACUGCUUUUGUACGGAACGAAAAGCCUCUUUCUAAUAAAGAGGGGUCAUGACGGUACCGUAAGAAUAAGCACCGGCUAACUACGUG